RNAcentral lists this ribosomal RNA (659 nucleotides) under uncultured bacterium. RNAcentral's name for it is "bacterial SSU rRNA". It matches the Rfam family "Bacterial small subunit ribosomal RNA", at positions 94 to 788 of the family's 1533-position model. The record is from RNAcentral.
AGUGGCGGACGGGUGAGUAACGCGUGAGAAUCCCUUCAGGUCGGGGACAACAGAGGGAAACUUCUGCUAAUCCCGGAUGAGCCUUAGGGUAAAAAAUUUAUUGCCUGGAGAUGAGCUCGCGUCUGAUUAGCUAGUUGGUAAGGUAAAAGCUUACCAAGGCAACGAUCAGUAGCUGGUCUGAGAGGAUGAGCAGCCACACUGGGACUGAGACACGGCCCAGACUCCUACGGGAGGCAGCAGUGGGGAAUUUUCCGCAAUGGGCGAAAGCCUGACGGAGCAAGACCGCGUGGGGGAGGAAGGCUCUAGGGUUGUAAACCCCUUUUCUUUGGGAAGAACAAAAUGACGGUACCAAAGGAAUCAGCCUCGGCUAACUCCGUGCCAGCAGCCGCGGUAAUACGGAGGAGGCAAGCGUUAUCCGGAAUGAUUGGGCGUAAAGCGUCCGCAGGUGGCAAUGUAAGUCUGCUGUCAAAACCCAGGGCUCAACUCUGGUCAGGCAGUGGAAACUACAUAGCUAGAGUUCGGUAGGGGCAAAGGGAAUUCCCGGUGUAGCGGUGAAAUGCGUAGAGAUCGGGAAGAACAUCGGUGGCGAAAGCGCUUUGCUAGACCGAAACUGACACUCAGGGACGAAAGCUAGGGGAGCGAAUGGGAUUAGAUACCCC